This 477-nucleotide ribosomal RNA is filed under the name uncultured Archaeospora. RNAcentral's name for it is "SSU rRNA". It matches the Rfam family "Eukaryotic small subunit ribosomal RNA", at positions 569 to 1048 of the family's 1831-position model. The record is from RNAcentral. Lineage: Eukaryota; Fungi; Glomeromycota; Glomeromycetes; Archaeosporales; Archaeosporaceae.
AGCAGCCGCGGUAAUUCCAGCUCCAAUAGCGUAUAUUAAAGUUGUUGCAGUUAAAAAGCUCGUAGUUGAAUUUUGGAUUCUUCCAAUUGGUCCAUCUUUUAGAUGAGUACUGGUUGUGUGGGGUCUAUCCGCCUGGUGAUACGUAAUGUCCUUUAUUGGAUGUUGCGGGUAGUCAGGACCUUUACCUUGAAAAAAUUAGAGUGUUUAAAGCAGGCUUAUGCCGGAAUACAUUAGCAUGGAAUAAUAGAAUAGGACGAAGUUGUUUUAUUUUGUUGGUUUCUAGGACAACCGUAAUGAUUAAUAGGGAUAGUUGGGGGCAUUAGUAUUCAAUUGUCAGAGGUGAAAUUCUUGGAUUUAUUGAAGACUAACUACUGCGAAAGCAUUUGCCAAGGAUGUUUUCAUUAAUCAAGAACGAAAGUUAGGGGAUCGAAGACGAUCAGAUACCGUCGUAGUCUUAACCAUAAACUAUGCGACUAG